This 253-nucleotide ribosomal RNA is filed under the name uncultured bacterium. RNAcentral describes it as "partial 16S ribosomal RNA". It matches the Rfam family "Bacterial small subunit ribosomal RNA", at positions 524 to 776 of the family's 1533-position model. The record is from RNAcentral.
UACGUAGGGUGCAAGCGUUGUCCGGAAUUAUUGGGCGUAAAGAGCUCGUAGGCGGUCUGUCGCGUCUGCUGUGAAAACUCUGGGCUUAACCCUGAGCUUGCAGUGGGUACGGGUAGACUAGAGUGCGGUAGGGGAGACUGGAAUUCCUGGUGUAGCGGUGAAAUGCGCAGAUAUCAGGAGGAACACCGGUGGCGAAGGCGGGUCUCUGGGCCGUAACUGACGCUGAGGAGCGAAAGCAUGGGGAGCGAACAGG